AUGGCCCGAGUUCUGUUUUGUUUUCCUUUUUCCUUUUUGGUUUGCCUGCUGCUUCCUUCCCUGUCCACCAGAUGUCACCGGAUGACUGAGCCCCUGGAGAGAUGCGGUGCCAACCCCGUAGGCACACCUGUGUCUAAUCUGGAGCUGGCUGCUGUGGUGUAUUUAUGGAGCGUCUGGCCAACACUCCAGUGCCUGAGUGUUGCCUUCCAUGGGUGUUUCCCCGUGUUUGCCGAGUUCGUCAGUGAACGCUGUCCUUCCCUGAUCUCCCUGUGAGCCACCUCCACGACGCCAUAGGUCUUACCUAUCGGACGCCAUACUCCGUGCACUUACCUUCUCCUGAUCCACCCCUGCGGACUCACCUUGAGACGCCACCAGCUACCCGCAGGUCGCCCUAGCCCCGGGAGCUAUAUUAGACCUGGACCUCCGCCAGCGGCUCUGUCCGUCCACAGCACACUUACCUGUCCGCUCUCCAACGCUCUCCGUCGACUCAGUCUGCCGGAACCUGGAACCCACGCCUCUGCAGCAGGUCUGCGCUUCCACUCUCCCUUCCUGAAAUCAGACGUUCUGAUUCCUCUUACCAAUCUCCGACCAUCGUCCCCUUACCCCUUUCCCUUUAAAUAAACUUAUUUAACUG
Molecule: long non-coding RNA, 634 nt
Organism: Poecilia latipinna (sailfin molly)
Lineage: Eukaryota; Metazoa; Chordata; Actinopteri; Cyprinodontiformes; Poeciliidae
Exons: 2
Source: RefSeq, a predicted model, not a curated record